This 468-nucleotide ribosomal RNA is filed under the name uncultured bacterium. Its description in RNAcentral is "partial 16S ribosomal RNA". It matches the Rfam family "Bacterial small subunit ribosomal RNA", at positions 28 to 507 of the family's 1533-position model. The record is from RNAcentral.
GACGAACGCUGGCGGCGUGCUUAACACAUGCAAGUCGAACGGAAAGGCCCUGCUUUUGUGAGGUGCUCGAGUGGCGAACGGGUGAGUAACACGUGAGUAACCUGCCCUUGACUUUGGGAUAACUUCAGGAAACUGGGGCUAAUACCGGAUAGGAGCUCCUGCUGCAUGGUGGGGGUUGGAAAGUUUCGGCGGUUGGGGAUGGACUCGCGGCUUAUCAGCUUGUUGGUGGGGUAGUGGCUUACCAAGGCUUUGACGGGUCGCCGGCCUGAGAGGGUGACCGGCCACAUGGGGACUGAGAUACGGCCCAGACUCCUACGGGAGGAAGCAGUGGGGAAUAUUGCACAAUGGGCGGAAGCCUGAUGCAGCAACGCCGCGUGCGGGAUGACGGCCUUCGGGUUGUAAACCGCUUUCGCCUGUGACGAAGCGUGAGUGACGGUAAUGGGUAAAGAAGCACCGGCUAACUACGUG